GGGGACACUGAGGCAGGGCACACAGAGGUUUGGGGACACUGAGGCAGGGGACACAGAGGUUUGGGGACACUGCUCCAGGGUACAGGUGCCAUGUUUUGGGGUGCCACGCUGCUCAGGCAGCCCUGACGUGUCCCCCCGUGUCCCC
Molecule: long non-coding RNA, 145 nt
Organism: Poecile atricapillus (Black-capped chickadee)
Lineage: Eukaryota; Metazoa; Chordata; Aves; Passeriformes; Paridae
Exons: 3
Source: RefSeq, a predicted model, not a curated record